Molecule: ribosomal RNA, 199 nt
Filed under: uncultured Pseudomonas sp.
Lineage: Bacteria; Pseudomonadati; Pseudomonadota; Gammaproteobacteria; Pseudomonadales; Pseudomonadaceae
Description: partial 16S ribosomal RNA
Rfam family: Bacterial small subunit ribosomal RNA
Source: RNAcentral
UGGAUAUAUAUAUAAUCUAUAUAUGGGAUGGGAUGGGCGAAAGCCUGAUCCAGCCAUGCCGCGUGUGUGAAGAAGGUCUUCGGAUUGUACAGCACUUUAAGUUGGGAGGAAGGGCAUUAACCUAAUACGUUAGUGUUUUGACGUUACCGACAGAAUAAGCACCGGCUAACUCUGUGCCAGCAGCCGCGGUAAUACGACC